CGCACCUUGCACCUUUUGGCAUUCCGAAAGGUACAUCUGUUUGAGUGUCAUGAAUACCUCAACCUCUACAUUUUCUUGUUAAAGUGUAGUAGCGUUGGAUGCUGAGCGUUGCUGUUUGCCUUUUGAGCACAGCUCGCUUCAAAUGCAUAAGCAAUCUUUGUACUCCUCGGAUUGACUUGACGUGAUAAGAUCUUCGUCGAGGAUGCUUUCAAUAGCAGCCGGAUUGUACACUAGUCGCUUCUAACCCGAGUCGCCCUAGUGCGAUGCUCCUUUUAAUUUAGACCUCAAAUCAGAUGGGACUACCCGCUGAACUUAA
Molecule: unclassified non-coding RNA, 316 nt
Filed under: Septobasidiaceae sp.
Lineage: Eukaryota; Fungi; Basidiomycota; Pucciniomycetes; Septobasidiales; Septobasidiaceae
Description: partial contains 5.8S ribosomal RNA, internal transcribed spacer 2, and large subunit ribosomal RNA
Source: RNAcentral